Molecule: ribosomal RNA, 404 nt
Rfam family: Bacterial small subunit ribosomal RNA
UGGGGAAUAUUGCACAAUGGAGGAAACUCUGAUGCAGCGACGCCGCGUGAGGGAAGAAGGUUUUCGGAUUGUAAACCUCUGUCUUAGGGGACGAAGAAGUGACGGUACCCUAGGAGGAAGCCACGGCUAACUACGUGCCAGCAGCCGCGGUAAAACGUAGGUGGCAAGCGUUGUCCGGAAUUACUGGGUGUAAAGGGAGCGCAGGCGGAAAAGCAAGUCGGGAGUGAAAACUAUGGGCUCAACCCAUAGAUUGCUUUCGAAACUGUUUUUCUUGAGUGAUGGAGAGGCAGGCGGAAUUCCCGGUGUAGCGGUGGAAUGCGUAGAUAUCGGGAGGAACACCAGUGGCGAAGGCGGCCUGCUGGACAUUAACUGACGCUGAGGCUCGAAAGUGUGGGUAGCAAACA